CUCUCUGGGUCUCUCUAUGGGUCUCUAUGGGUCUCUCUAUGGGUCUCUAUGGGUCUCUAUGGGUCUCUCUAUGGGUCUCUAUGGGUCUCUAUGGGUCUCUAUGGGUCUCUCUAUGGGUCUCUAUGGGUCUCUAUGGGGUCUCUCUAUGGGUCUCUAUGGGUCUCUCUAUGGGUCUCUCUAUGGGUCUCUCUAUGGGUCUCUCUAUGGGUCUCUAUGGGUCUCUCUAUGGGUCUCUGUGGGUCUCUAUGGAUCUCUCUAUGGGUCUCUGUGGGUCUCUAUGGGGUCUCUAUGGGGUCUCUAUGGGGUCUCUCUGGGUCUCUCUAUGGGGUCUCUAUGGGUCUCUAUGGGUCUCUCUGGGUCUCUCUAUGGGUCUCUAUGGGUCUCUAUGGGUCUCUCUGUGGGGCUCUCUGUGGGUCUCUCUGGGUCUCUCUGGGUCUCUAUGGGGUCUCUAUGGGUCUCUAUGCGUCUCUAUGCGUCUCUGUGGGUCUCUCUAUGGGUCUCUCUGGGCCCUUAUGUGUCCCUACUAUGGGUCUGGGACCCCCAAGUGUGGGGCUGGGCACCUAAGCGAGGGACUAGCUCCCCAAGUGUGGGUCAGGGACCCACAAGUGUGGGUCUCAGACCCCUGUCUCUGUGUCCGAGGCCACCACUGUAGCUCCA
Molecule: long non-coding RNA, 657 nt
Filed under: Numida meleagris (helmeted guineafowl)
Lineage: Eukaryota; Metazoa; Chordata; Aves; Galliformes; Numididae
Description: lncRNA (ENSNMEG00000002537.1)
Source: RNAcentral